ACUGGCGGCGGCUUACACAUGCAAGUCGAGCGGGGAAAAGUAGCUUGCUACUUUACCUAGCGGCGGACGGGUGAGUAAUGCUUAGGAAUCUGCCUAUUAGUGGGGGACAACAUUUCGAAAGGAAUGCUAAUACCGCAUACGCCCUACGGGGGAAAGCAGGGGAUCUUCGGACCUUGCGCUAAUAGAUGAGCCUAAGUCGGAUUAGCUAGUUGGUGGGGUAAAGGCCUACCAAGGCGACGAUCUGUAGCGGGUCUGAGAGGAUGAUCCGCCACACUGGGACUGAGACACGGCCCAGACUCCUACGGGAGGCAGCAGUGGGGAAUAUUGGACAAUGGGGGGAACCCUGAUCCAGCCAUGCCGCGUGUGUGAAGAAGGCCUUUUGGUUGUAAAGCACUUUAAGCGAGGAGGAGGCUACUUAGAUUAAUACUCUGAGACAGUGGACGUUACUCGCAGAAUAAGCACCGGCUAACUCUGUGCCAGCAGCCGCGGUAAU
RNAcentral lists this ribosomal RNA (493 nucleotides) under uncultured bacterium. Its description in RNAcentral is "bacterial SSU rRNA". It matches the Rfam family "Bacterial small subunit ribosomal RNA", at positions 36 to 524 of the family's 1533-position model. The record is from RNAcentral.